This 468-nucleotide ribosomal RNA is filed under the name uncultured bacterium. RNAcentral describes it as "partial 16S ribosomal RNA". It matches the Rfam family "Bacterial small subunit ribosomal RNA", at positions 28 to 507 of the family's 1533-position model. The record is from RNAcentral.
GACGAACGCUGGCGGCGUGCUUAACACAUGCAAGUCGAACGGAAAGGCCCUGCUUUUGUGGGGUGCUCGAGUGGCGAACGGGUGAGUAACACGUGAGUAACCUGCCCUUGACUUUGGGAUAACUUCAGGAAACUGGGGCUCAUACCGGAUAGGAGCUCCUGCUGCAUGGUGGGGGUUGGAAAGUUUCGGCGGUUGGGGAUGGACUCGCGGCUUAUCAGCUUGUUGGUGGGGUAGUGGCUUACCAAGGCUUUGACGGGUAGCCGGCCUGAGAGGGUGACCGGCCACAUUGGGACUGAGAUACGGCCCAGACGCCUACGGGAGGCAGCAGUGGGGAAUAUUGCACAAUGGGCGGAAGCCUGAUGCAGCAACGCCGCGUGCGGGAUGACGGCCUUCGGGUUGUAAACCGCUUUCGCCUGUGACGAAGCGUGAGUGACGGUAAUGGGUAAAGAAGCACCGGCUAACUACGUG